RNAcentral lists this ribosomal RNA (159 nucleotides) under Calogaya pusilla. Its description in RNAcentral is "5.8S ribosomal RNA". It matches the Rfam family "5.8S ribosomal RNA". From Rfam's summary of the family: 5.8S ribosomal RNA (5.8S rRNA) is a component of the large subunit of the eukaryotic ribosome. It is transcribed by RNA polymerase I as part of the 45S precursor that also contains 18S and 28S rRNA. Functionally, it is thought that 5.8S rRNA may be involved in ribosome translocation. Lineage: Eukaryota; Fungi; Ascomycota; Lecanoromycetes; Teloschistales; Teloschistaceae. The record is from RNAcentral.
AAAACUUUCAACAACGGAUCUCUUGGUUCUGGCAUCGAUGAAGAACGCAGCGAAAUGCGAUAAGUAAUGUGAAUUGCAGAAUUCAGGGAAUCAUCGAAUCUUUGAACGCACAUUGCGCCCCCUGGUAUCCCGGGGGGCAUGCCUGUUCGAGCGUCAUUG